RNAcentral lists this long non-coding RNA (223 nucleotides) under Lathyrus oleraceus (garden pea). RNAcentral's name for it is "Pisum sativum (pea) long non-coding RNA (PSAT_LNC028827)". The record is from RNAcentral. Lineage: Eukaryota; Viridiplantae; Streptophyta; Magnoliopsida; Fabales; Fabaceae.
AUUUGACUAGCUAUCAGUUGCGAGUCAGUUCUAACCAAUAAAUGAGAAACCCAACUUCCUUGGAUAACUUUAAACCGACUAUCAUAACUUCGUAUUCUGCUUGAUAUUUUAUAGCUUAAAAGUAGAAACAAAGAGAUUGUUCUAGUAUCAAUUCUUCUGGUCCUUCUAACACUAUCCUCGUUCCACUGCCCUUGAGGUUAGAUGAGUCGUCCACUGAUAAGAU